UCACAGAACCAUGUCGCCAGCCCUGUGA
Molecule: non-coding RNA, 28 nt
Filed under: Mus musculus (house mouse)
Lineage: Eukaryota; Metazoa; Chordata; Mammalia; Rodentia; Muridae
Source: RNAcentral